AUUGAACGCUGGCGGCGUGCCUAACACAUGCAAGUCGAGCGGCAGCGCGGGAGCAAUCCUGGCGGCGAGCGGCGGACGGGUGAGUAAUGCUUGGGAAUCUGCCUGUUAGUGGGGGACAACCCGGGGAAACUCGGGCUAAUACCGCAUACGCACUACGGUGGAAAGCCGGGGACCGCAAGGCCUGGCGCUAACAGAUGAGCCCAAGUCGGAUUAGCUAGUUGGUAGGGUAACGGCCUACCAAGGCGACGAUCCGUAACUGGUCUGAGAGGACGACCAGUCACACCGGAACU
Molecule: ribosomal RNA, 290 nt
Filed under: uncultured bacterium
Lineage: Bacteria
Description: partial 16S ribosomal RNA
Rfam family: Bacterial small subunit ribosomal RNA
Source: RNAcentral